RNAcentral lists this ribosomal RNA (454 nucleotides) under uncultured bacterium. Its description in RNAcentral is "partial 16S ribosomal RNA". It matches the Rfam family "Bacterial small subunit ribosomal RNA", at positions 355 to 825 of the family's 1533-position model. The record is from RNAcentral.
UGGGGAAUAUUGGACAAUGGGCGCAAGCCUGAUCCAGCCAUGCCGCGUGAGUGAUGAAGGCCCUAGGGUUGUAAAGCUCUUUCAGCGAGGAGGAUAAUGACGUUACUCGCAGAAGAAGCCCCGGCUAACUUCGUGCCAGCAGCCGCGGUAAUACGAAGGGGGCUAGCGUUGUUCGGAAUCACUGGGCGUAAGGCGCACGUAGGCGGACUUUUAAGUCAGGGGUGAAAUCCCGGGGCUCAACCUCGGAACUGCCUUUGAUACUGGAAGUCUGGAGUCCGAGAGAGGUGAGUGGGAACUCCGAGUGUAGAGGUGAAAUUCGUAGAUAUUCGGAAGAACACCAGUGGCGAAGGCGGCUCACUGGCUCGGUACUGACGCUGAGGUGCGAAAGCGUGGGGAGCAAACAGGACUAGAUACCCUGGUAGUCCACGCCGUAAGCGAUGGAAGCUAGCCGUCA